Molecule: unclassified non-coding RNA, 269 nt
Filed under: Hevea brasiliensis (rubber tree)
Lineage: Eukaryota; Viridiplantae; Streptophyta; Magnoliopsida; Malpighiales; Euphorbiaceae
Source: RNAcentral
UUUGUACAAAUUUCUAACUUUCUUACCUAUUUUGGAAGUGAAUGGUUAAGAGCUCGUUAAUGAGAGAACUCUUCUAUCUCUGAGUUUUAAGGAAACUCAACCUUGCUCAAAAAUAUCACUCGUUCUUUCCUUUCAUGAUAACAAUAAAUAAUAUAUUGAAUUCCCAAGACAAAGGUGGUACCUACCCACAUUUUAAACAACCAAGAACUAAGAAAACUGCCCGCAAUUUAAGCAACACAGAAAAAUAAGGAAACUAUCCAUACCACAAG